RNAcentral lists this ribosomal RNA (452 nucleotides) under uncultured organism. RNAcentral's name for it is "partial 16S ribosomal RNA". It matches the Rfam family "Bacterial small subunit ribosomal RNA", at positions 332 to 800 of the family's 1533-position model. The record is from RNAcentral.
UACACUCCUACGGGAGGCAGCAGUGGGGAAUAUUGGACAAUGGGCGCAAGCCUGAUCCAGCCAUGCCGCGUGAGUGAUGAAGGCCCUAGGGUUGUAAAGCUCUUUUGUGCGGGAAGAUAAUGACGGUACCGCAAGAAUAAGCCCCGGCUAACUUCGUGCCAGCAGCCGCGGUAAUACGAAGGGGGCUAGCGUUGCUCGGAAUCACUGGGCGUAAAGGGUGCGUAGGCGGGUCUUUAAGUCAGGGGUGAAAUCCUGGAGCUCAACUCCAGAACUGCCUUUGAUACUGAAGAUCUUGAGUUCGGGAGAGGUGAGUGGAACUGCGAGUGUAGAGGUGAAAUUCGUAGAUAUUCGCAAGAACACCAGUGGCGAAGGCGGCUCACUGGCCCGAUACUGACGCUGAGGCACGAAAGCGUGGGGAGCAAACAGGAUUAGAAACCCGUGUAGUCCCAUGA